UACGGAGGGUGCAAACGUUGCUCGGAAUCAUUGGGCGUAAAGCGCACGUAGGCGGCCUGUUAAGUCGGAUGUGAAAGCCCCGGACUCAACCCGGGAAGUGCAUUCGAAACUGGCGGGCUUGAAUAUGGAAGAGGGUCGCGGAAUUCCCGGUGUAGAGGUGAAAUUCGUAGAUAUCGGGAGGAACACCAGUGGCGAAGGCGGCGACCUGGGCCAAUAUUGACGCUGAGGCGCGAAAGCCAGGGGAGCAAACGGG
RNAcentral lists this ribosomal RNA (253 nucleotides) under uncultured bacterium. RNAcentral describes it as "partial 16S ribosomal RNA". It matches the Rfam family "Bacterial small subunit ribosomal RNA", at positions 524 to 776 of the family's 1533-position model. The record is from RNAcentral.